This 305-nucleotide ribosomal RNA is filed under the name uncultured bacterium. RNAcentral describes it as "bacterial SSU rRNA". It matches the Rfam family "Bacterial small subunit ribosomal RNA", at positions 332 to 633 of the family's 1533-position model. The record is from RNAcentral.
CUGCGCCUACGGGACGCAGUAGGGAAUCUUCCACAAUGGGCGAAAGCCUGAUGGAGCAACGCCGCGUGGGUGAAGAAGGUCUUCGGAUCGUAAAACCCUGUUGUUAGAGAAGAAAGUGCGUGAGAGUAACUGUUCACGUUUCGACGGUAUCUAACCAGAAAGCCACGGCUAACUACGUGCCAGCAGCCGCGGUAAUACGUAGGUGGCAAGCGUUAUCCGGAUUUAUUGGGCGUAAAGGGAACGCAGGCGGUCUUUUAAGUCUGAUGUGAAAGCCUUCGGCUUAACCGGAGUAGUGCAUUGGAAAC